UUUUGUUCCCAAAUCAGUAAAAUAAGACUUAAUAUGGCAGUCCAUUACAUUCUAAUCUUGGAACAUGCACUUAUACACAGUACACAUGUACAGUCUUUGCAUGCAGCUUCCACACCAGCACUUCUUUGUGUUUGGCUGGAGUGAGUGUGAUGUCACAACACCUGUGCAGUAAACAUGUUUUAUUCCAGCUUCCACAUUUGGCGUCACUCUGUUCUUUCCAUCAAGGCUCAGCUGGGGUGUACUACGGAGCAGUGGAUGGGUUAGCAGGUUAUGUUGAGCUUAUAGAGUAUACAUGUCGACCCCGAGUGCGUACGUGCCACGGCUCCAUUUGAACCUUUUACACUGGCCGAAUAUUAAUAAUGUCUCCUCAGAAAACUUCAUCUCACAUUAGUCUCGACUACUUUACAGCGCUGGUGUUGCCUUUUAUGUUUAUAGGAUUUACAGAUUUCCUCUGACGUGUUUGUCGUCUUACCCGUCAUCUCCGACGGGGAUUAGUCGAGCUAGCUCAUGCUAACAGAGCCUGGCCGUUUUCAACUUUCUUUGAAGUACACCACUCAUGACAAAACAAGAAACACAAUGAAAGAAGUACAAAGCCUUUAUUCUUAUGUACAAAUGCUAAUAGCUAGAUUGUUGUAUGAGCUUAUAGUUCUAAUUUUGGGUUCAAUCUGAGGUUACACGGGCCCAAACCAAACAUGCAUGGGUCCAACCUCACAAUAUUCAAUGAUUAACUGAAUACUAACAAAAUCUCAAAUGAGAUAAAACUCAUUUCAAAGCUGCCUUUAACUAAAGAUUUAUGGAUGGACACAUUGUAACCUUAGAAUGAUACAACAGGGAGCAUGUUGAGGUUCCAAAUGGUUUGAGAUCAGAUUUGUUCCAUUUAAAUCACAAAGUGACUCUGAGUUAUGACUUUAAGAAGUUGUUAUAUCGGAUAUCUGCAUUUAGUCAAGUCAGAUGACUUUUUUUUCAUUAUUUAGACAACUUCUUUAAUUAUUUGAGCUCAAACUCAACUCUCAUGUCAACAUCGUCACCUUCAGUAAGCAGGGUCAGUUUAUAACGACCGUUUUCAUCCACAACUCCAAGAACUUUUUUGCAAUCUGCUGAGAACACAAACUUAAACCUGUUAGUUCCAUCAAGUUUCAUCUUGUAGAACAAAGCCUCGUGAUUCGUUCCAGGGAUGUCUGUGGGGGGCGUCUAUGGACAGACAUAAGGAGAAAAAGAGUAACAAUCACCGUGUCAUCCUGACGCACUGCAGAUCAAGUAUAGUGGCCCUUUCACACGUGGAGAUUAAACUGUUGUUUAAUAAGCAGAAUUAAGGAGUCUAGUGAUGGUGUCAAACAGGAACGAUGACAAUCAAUGUUAAUUAAACUAGCAGAAUGAGAUGAUUUUUCUCAUUUUAAGAGCUGGUUCAAAUUUAUUAAUUAAACUGUAUUCAUUUUUAAAAACAUAAAAAAUAAAAGCUUUUUUGUGGGCCAGUAAAAAUACACACUUACUGAUAUACUGGUUUCUUAUUAAUAUCUAAACCAGUGGUCUCCAACCCACGGACCGCGGACCGGUCCAUGAGUCAUUUGGUACUGGACCGCGAGACCUGAAGCUCGGGGUCUUUUCCUGUGUGUUAUGAAUAAAUCUUCUUUUUGGUACUGGUUUUAUUUUGUUGUAUUUAUCUGCAACACCUUAAAGGCCGUUCCGUGAAAAUAUUGUUGGACAUAAACUGGUCUGUGGCACAAAAAAGGUUGGAGACCGCUGCACUAAAACCAACUCUGAAUGACUUUUCUUGUACUUACCAUUGGUACAGCUUGAAUUUUGUGCUCCUUACAACAUACCACCAUUGUCUGGUC
This is a long non-coding RNA of Astatotilapia calliptera (eastern happy), 1835 nucleotides long. Lineage: Eukaryota; Metazoa; Chordata; Actinopteri; Cichliformes; Cichlidae. The record is from Ensembl.